CGUGCUCCAGCCGCCAGAGACCAGCGCCGAGCCGCCUCCUCUUUGCGCCCCCCUCUGCCCUGUGGACCAGGCGCCAGCGCUGCUCUCUCCUCCUGCUCUAUCUCUAUCUAUUCUAUAUUGAGUUAUCCCCGACUCCGAUUUGUUGGAGCUUCGGCUGGAUUUCGUGGAUUUGGGGGGAUUCGAUUCUAUCUCGACGAGCCCUAUCCGCCGCUGCCACCGCCACCGCCACCGCGGCCUAUAUAAACCCGAGGAGGCCAGCCAGCUGGGGGAUCGGUCUAUUUCCUCUUCGGCCGAAGCCCUACGCUCGUGUUCUCCGCCAUCGGUGUGCCGCCGCCGCCUCGUCGUCGCCGUCCGCCCAUUUCGCCGGUGAUGAUGCCGAUGCCGAUGCCCGUAGGUCUUGCCGGCUUCUCCGCCCGCGAAGCUAUAUAGGGUUCAGGAGACUAUCUGUGAAGCGACCAUCAUAGGUACAACUUAAUCGGAGGUAGUAUGUGAAGAUAGACGUAAUUAACCAGAGCGCUUUGCGAAGCCUUGGGAACCAGAAGACAUGAUCGCCAUGUUAGAUGCGUGUGUCAUAUGUGUGCGUAUGCCACAUACGUGUUGUAAUUGGAAAACUUGUACAUUAUGAAUUCAAAUGAAUGAAUAAAGAUCAAUAUUUUCCUUUA
This is a long non-coding RNA of Phragmites australis (common reed), 662 nucleotides long. RefSeq lists it as uncharacterized. The record is from RefSeq and is a predicted model, not a curated record. NCBI's taxonomy places the organism in Eukaryota, Viridiplantae, Streptophyta, Magnoliopsida, Poales, Poaceae. The transcript is spliced from 2 exons.